GGGCCUAUAGUUUAAUGGUAGAACGUUGGUCUCCAAAACCAUCGGCCGGGGUUCGAUUCCUCGUGGGCCCGCAA
Molecule: transfer RNA, 74 nt
Filed under: Candidatus Kaiserbacteria bacterium
Lineage: Bacteria; Candidatus Kaiseribacteriota
Also listed under: 1 other name
Description: tRNA-Trp
Rfam family: tRNA
About the family: Transfer RNA (tRNA) molecules are approximately 80 nucleotides in length. Their secondary structure includes four short double-helical elements and three loops (D, anti-codon, and T loops). Further hydrogen bonds mediate the characteristic L-shaped molecular structure. tRNAs have two regions of fundamental functional importance: the anti-codon, which is responsible for specific mRNA codon recognition, and the 3' end, to which the tRNAs corresponding amino acid is attached (by aminoacyl-tRNA synthetases). tRNAs cope with the degeneracy of the genetic code in two manners: having more than one tRNA (with a specific anti-codon) for a particular amino acid; and 'wobble' base-pairing, i.e. permitting non-standard base-pairing at the 3rd anti-codon position.
Source: RNAcentral